CAGUAGCCGCGGUAAUACGAAGGGUGCAAGCGUUAAUCGGAAUUACUGGGCGUAAAGCGUGCGUAGGCGGUUUGUUAAGUCUGUUGUGAAAUCCCCGGGCUCAACCUGGGAAUGGCAAUGGAUACUGGCAAGCUAGAGUGUGUCAGAGGAUGGUGGAAUUCCCGGUGUAGCGGUGAAAUGCGUAGAGAUCGGGAGGAACAUCAGUGGCGAAGGCGGCCGUCUGGGACAACACUGACGCUGAGGCACGAAAGCGUGGGGAGCAAACAGGAUUAGAUACCCGUGUAGUCCCUGUCUCUUAUAC
RNAcentral lists this ribosomal RNA (301 nucleotides) under uncultured bacterium. RNAcentral's name for it is "partial 16S ribosomal RNA". It matches the Rfam family "Bacterial small subunit ribosomal RNA", at positions 509 to 807 of the family's 1533-position model. The record is from RNAcentral.